GUAGUCGUGGCCGAACGGUUAAGGCGAUGGACUAGAUAAUCCAUUGGGUGGUUCUCCCCGCACAGGUUUGAGUCCUGCCGACUACG
This 86-nucleotide transfer RNA is filed under the name Petromyzon marinus (sea lamprey). RNAcentral describes it as "tRNA-Und (NNN) (tRNA-Und-NNN-2-1)". It matches the Rfam family "tRNA". Rfam says of the family: Transfer RNA (tRNA) molecules are approximately 80 nucleotides in length. Their secondary structure includes four short double-helical elements and three loops (D, anti-codon, and T loops). Further hydrogen bonds mediate the characteristic L-shaped molecular structure. tRNAs have two regions of fundamental functional importance: the anti-codon, which is responsible for specific mRNA codon recognition, and the 3' end, to which the tRNAs corresponding amino acid is attached (by aminoacyl-tRNA synthetases). tRNAs cope with the degeneracy of the genetic code in two manners: having more than one tRNA (with a specific anti-codon) for a particular amino acid; and 'wobble' base-pairing, i.e. permitting non-standard base-pairing at the 3rd anti-codon position. Lineage: Eukaryota; Metazoa; Chordata; Hyperoartia; Petromyzontiformes; Petromyzontidae. The record is from RNAcentral.